CGACGUGAGUAACCUGCCUUGGAGUGGGGAAUAACACAGUGAAAACUGUGCUAAUACCGCAUAAUGCAUUUGGGUCGCAUGAUUCUGAAUGCCAAAGAUUUAUCGCUCUGAGAUGGACUCGCGUCUGAUUAGCUGGUUGGCGGGGUAACGGCCUACCAAGCCGACGAUCAGUAGCCGACCUGAGAGGGUGACCGGCCACAUUGGGACUGAGACACGGCCCAA
Molecule: ribosomal RNA, 222 nt
Filed under: uncultured bacterium
Lineage: Bacteria
Description: partial 16S ribosomal RNA
Rfam family: Bacterial small subunit ribosomal RNA
Source: RNAcentral